CUUAGCCCGAGGUAUAUUGGCCCUUAUGAGAUUAUAGAGCGAGUUGGCUCACUUGCUUAUCGAUUAGCCUUGCCUCCAGAGUUGGCUAGGAUACAUAAGGUGUUUCAUGUAUCCAUGCUUCGCAAGUAUAUUGCCGAUCCUUCUCAUGUGCUGCAAGAGCAGCCGAUCAGUUUGACGAGAGAUUUGACCUAUGAAGAGGAACCGGUUCAGAUUCUCGACCGAAAGGAGCAAGUGCUUAGGAACAAGACAAUUCCGCUUGUCAAGGUGCUGUGGAGAAGUCAUCAAGUAGAAGAAGCUACUUGGGAAUCAGAGGAGCAAAUGAUGCAGCAGUCUCCGUAUCUCUUCGGAUGACAUGUAAAUUAAUUUCGAGGACGAAAUUUUUAUAAGGAGGGGAGAAUUGUCACAUCCCGACCCUUAUAUUUUUACCUUAUUUACUAGCGUGAUUAUAAUAAGAAUUUUACCGUCUCCGUCAUUGAGUAAAUAGUUUAAUUGGUCCCUAGAGGGGUUUCGGGGACGAUUAUGUGCGGAGNNNNN
This 534-nucleotide long non-coding RNA is filed under the name Fragaria vesca (wild strawberry). Its description in RNAcentral is "long non-coding RNA (FVES_LNC005531)". The record is from RNAcentral. Lineage: Eukaryota; Viridiplantae; Streptophyta; Magnoliopsida; Rosales; Rosaceae.